Pelobates cultripes (western spadefoot toad) is the source of this 343-nucleotide non-coding RNA. The record is from the annotation of a GenBank genome assembly. Lineage: Eukaryota; Metazoa; Chordata; Amphibia; Anura; Pelobatidae.
AUAGGAACCAGAGUGUUGGAGAGACCACCCUCCAGGCCCCAUUAGACUCCAUUGUAGUCUCUAAUGGGGCAUGGAGGAGAUUCUUUCUAACACACUCUCUAAAGGACACUGAGAUAGCCUCUGCUAGAAAUCCCCUCCAUGGCCCAUUAGCCCUCAAUUGUAGUCUCUACUGGGGCCUCGAAGGGCUUAUUGCCCUUUUGUUCCUUGUGUCUAAAGAUUGUGUAGGGUGUGGCUGGAGGCGGUGCAUGGAGGCGGGGCAAGGGUGGCGCUUGCUGCAGAGUAUGGGUGGGGCCUGUAAGGGGGCCCUUGAUUUAUUUUUCCCGGGGGCCCUGAGGGUUCUCAG